Molecule: long non-coding RNA, 336 nt
Organism: Gopherus evgoodei (Goodes thornscrub tortoise)
Lineage: Eukaryota; Metazoa; Chordata; Testudines; Testudinidae
Exons: 3
Source: RefSeq, a predicted model, not a curated record
GCCCCGCUUCUGCUCCAGCAGCCGCCUGCGGCCGCUCUCGGCCUCCGACUCCAGCGCGUCGAACACGGCGGCGCCCACCAGCAGUUACUCUCCAAAAACACAGCAGCAUCAGGAUGUCAGUCACUGUGAUCUCACUGAAGUGCGGACACAAUGGAAUAACUGGUUCCUGCCUCGGGUCAACAGCAGCUUCCCAUUCCCUUCUUAUAAGCUGGCACUGUACAAGGCAUCAUUCAGAAUUCCACAGUCAUUAUCCUAAUAGAGCACCAGCCUCCUGAAACUUUAAAAGGCAAGUCUGCUGUCAGCAGCUGCACAAUCUUGGAGGAGAGAUGGAGAAGA